CCUACGGGGGACUGCAGUGAGGAAUAUUGGUCAAUGGGCGCUAGCCUGAACCAGCCAAGUAGCGUGAAGGAUGACUGCCCUAUGGGUUGUAAACUUCUUUUAUAUGGGAAUAAAGUGCAGUAUGUAUACUGCUUUGCAUGUACCUUAUGAAUAAGGAUCGGCUAACUCCGUGCCAGCAGCCGCGGUAAUACGGAGGAUCCGAGCGUUAUCCGGAUUUAUUGGGUUUAAAGGGAGCGUAGGCGGGUUGUUAAGUCAGUUGUGAAAGUUUGCGGCUCAACCGUAAAAUUGCAGUUGAUACUGGCAGCCUUGAGUACAGUAGAGGUAGGCGGAAUUCGUGGUGUAGCGGUGAAAUGCUUAGAUAUCACGAAGAACUCCGAUUGCGAAGGCAGCCUGCUGGACUGUAACUGACGCUGAUGCUCGAAAGUGUGGGUAUCAAACAGGAUUAGAUACCCCGGUAGUC
RNAcentral lists this ribosomal RNA (460 nucleotides) under uncultured bacterium. Its description in RNAcentral is "partial 16S ribosomal RNA". It matches the Rfam family "Bacterial small subunit ribosomal RNA", at positions 338 to 795 of the family's 1533-position model. The record is from RNAcentral.